This 64-nucleotide transfer RNA is filed under the name Haplosymploce aurantiaca. RNAcentral's name for it is "tRNA-His". The record is from RNAcentral. Lineage: Eukaryota; Metazoa; Arthropoda; Insecta; Blattodea; Blattellidae.
GCUUAAGUAGUUUAAAUAAAAUGUUGAUUUGUGGUGUCAAAGAUAUAAUGAUUUAUCUUAGGUU